RNAcentral lists this ribosomal RNA (287 nucleotides) under Vibrio alginolyticus. RNAcentral's name for it is "partial 16S ribosomal RNA". It matches the Rfam family "Bacterial small subunit ribosomal RNA", at positions 1 to 274 of the family's 1533-position model. Lineage: Bacteria; Pseudomonadati; Pseudomonadota; Gammaproteobacteria; Vibrionales; Vibrionaceae. The record is from RNAcentral.
AAAUUGAAGAGUUUGAUCAUGGCUCAGAUUGAACGCUGGCGGCAGGCCUAACACAUGCAAGUCGAGCGGAAACGAGUUAUCUGAACCUUCGGGGAACGGUAACGGCGUCGAGCGGCGGACGGGUGAGUAAUGCCUAGGAAAUUGCCCUGAUGUGGGGGAUAACCAUUGGAAACGAUGGCUAAUACCGCAUGACGCCUACGGGCCAAAGAGGGGGACCUUCGGGCCUCUCGCGUCAGGAUAUGCCUAGGUGGGAUUAGCUAGUUGGUGAGGUAAGGGCUCACCAAGGC